ACGAACGCUGGCGGCGUGCUUAACACAUGCAAGUCGAACGGUGAAGCGCCUUCCUUUUUGGUGGGUGUGGAUGAGUGGCGAACGGGUGAGUAACACGUGAGUAACCUGCCCCCUUCUUCUGGAUAACCGCAUGAAAGUGUGGCUAAUACGGGAUAUUCUGGGUCUGUCGCAUGAUGGGUCUGGGAAAGAUAUUGUUUCGGUGGGGGAUGGGCUCGCGGCCUAUCAGCUUGUUGGUGGGGUGAUGGCCUACCAAGGCGGUGACGGGUAGCCGGCCUGAGAGGGUGGACGGUCACACUGGGACUGAGACACGGCCCAGACUCCUACGGGAGGCAGCAGUGGGGAAUAUUGCACAAUGGGCGCAAGCCUGAUGCAGCGACGCCGCGUGAGGGAUGGAGGCCUUCGGGUUGUGAACCUCUUUCGCCAGUGAAGCAGGCCUGCCUCGUUUGUGGGCGGGUUGACGGUAGCUGGAUAAGAAGCGCCGGCUAACUACGUG
Molecule: ribosomal RNA, 493 nt
Filed under: uncultured bacterium
Lineage: Bacteria
Description: partial 16S ribosomal RNA
Rfam family: Bacterial small subunit ribosomal RNA
Source: RNAcentral